RNAcentral lists this ribosomal RNA (460 nucleotides) under uncultured bacterium. RNAcentral describes it as "partial 16S ribosomal RNA". It matches the Rfam family "Bacterial small subunit ribosomal RNA", at positions 338 to 795 of the family's 1533-position model. The record is from RNAcentral.
CCUACGGGAGGCAGCAGUGAGGAAUAUUGGUCAAUGGACGAGAGUCUGAACCAGCCAAGUAGCGUGAAGGAUGACUGCCCUAUGGGUUGUAAACUUCUUUUAUAUGGGAAUAAAAUGUUCCACGUGUGGGAUUUUGUAUGUACCAUAUGAAUAAGGAUCGGCUAACUCCGUGCCAGCAGCCGCGGUAAUACGGAGGAUCCGAGCGUUAUCCGGAUUUAUUGGGUUUAAAGGGAGCGUAGGUGGAUUGUUAAGUCAGUUGUGAAAGUUUGCGGCUCAACCGUAAAAUUGCAGUUGAAACUGGCAGUCUUGAGUACAGUAGAGGUGGGCGGAAUUCGUGGUGUAGCGGUGAAAUGCUUAGAUAUCACGAAGAACUCCGGUUGCGAAGGCAGUUCACUGGACUGCAACUGACACUGAGGCUCGAAAGUGUGGGUAUCAAACAGGAUUAGAUACCCGUGUAGUC